This is a non-coding RNA of Larimichthys crocea (large yellow croaker), 46 nucleotides long. NCBI's taxonomy places the organism in Eukaryota, Metazoa, Chordata, Actinopteri, Sciaenidae. The record is from Rfam.
ACAACGGCUCUUUUAAGAGCCACAGACAUGAACUAAGAGCGGCAAG